This 490-nucleotide ribosomal RNA is filed under the name uncultured bacterium. RNAcentral describes it as "partial 16S ribosomal RNA". It matches the Rfam family "Bacterial small subunit ribosomal RNA", at positions 30 to 507 of the family's 1533-position model. The record is from RNAcentral.
AUUGAACGCUGGCGGCAGGCCUAACACAUGCAAGUCGAACGGUAACAGGCAGAAGCUUGCUUCUUUGCUGACGAGUGGCGGACGGGUGAGUAAUGUCUGGGAAACUGCCUGCUGGAGGGGGAUAACUACUGGAAACGGUAGCUAAUACCGCAUAACGUCGCAAGCCCAAAGAGGGGGACCUUCGGGCCUCUUGCCAUCGGAUGUGCCCAGAUGGGAUUAUCUAGUAGGUGGGGUAACGGCUCCCCUAGGCGGCGGUCCCUAGCUGGUCUGAGAGGAUGACCGGCCACACUGGAACUGAGACACGGUCCGGACUGCUGCGGGAGGCAGCAGUGGGGAGUGUUGCACGAUGGGCGCAAGCCUGAUGCAGCCAUGCCGCGUGUAUGAGGAAGGCCUUCUGGUGGUAAAGUACUUUCAGCGGGGAGGAAGGGAGUAAUGUUAAUGCCUUGGCUCAUUGACGUUACCCGCAGAAGAAGCACCGGCUAACUACGUG